UCAUAACUAAUUCACAUCAAAGGCAAUUCUUUAAUUUGAGUUACAGAGUUUGCCUUUUCUUUUCUUAACCCUUGCUUGUUUCCCUAGAAAAAGGAUUUCCCACCCAUUUUGUGAUAAAACCCUGCUGCUGAAAACCCAUUUUGCGCUUCUUCUCAAAUCUUCUCGAUCAAUCUUCUCCUCAAAUCUUCUCAAUCAAUCUUCUAAUUGCUCUUUUCUUCUCAAUCUUCUUCUCGUUGCUAUUAGGGCAAAAGGUUUUAGGGUUUAAUCAAUCUAUCUUCUUUUUCUUGUGAUUAGCAAACACUGACAUUCCAGCAUCGGUCAGCUCUCGGCAAGCUUGGAGCUUCAAGCGCCUGAGAUUUCGGCACUUGAGAUAUAUUAAAACAAGUGCAACGUCCCCGAUGCCGACGGAUCAGAAGAAAGAAUUAACUGCAGUAUGAUAGGUUUCAGAGUUGGCAGUUCAGAAGUGUUUUGUUCAGAGUUAAUUGAUUGUUGAAUGCAGAAUUGUUUGCUGAUUGCAUUUGCAGAAUUGUUUGUUUGUUGGUGAAGGGUUGAUUGAUAAUUGAAUGUAGAAUUUUUUGCUGUUGCACUGCAGAAUUGCAGAAAUUUUUUGCUGUGCAGAAUUGUAGAAUUGUUUGUUUGCAAAAUUGCAGGAUUGCUGCUGUUGAAAUGCAGAAUUGUCUGCAUAAAUUGCAAAAUUAUUUGUUGUUGAAAUGAUGAAUUAUCUGCACAAAGUGCAAAAUUGGUUGCUGUGUAGAAUUGUAGAAUUGCAGGAUUGCUGUUGUUGAAAUGCAGAAUUGUCUACACAAAUUGCAAAAUUAUUUGUUGUUGAAAUGCAAAAUUUUCUGCACAAAGUGCAGAAUUGGUUGCUGUUGAAAUGCAGAAUUGUUUGCAGAAUUGCAAAAUUUGCUUGGAAGAGCUGAGUUAGUUUAAUCCAAGAAGAGUUGGUGGUUUACUGCUAUCCAGAAUUCUUUGCUGUACAGAAAUUGUUUUGCAAUUGGUUGCUGAUCAGAUUUGCAGAUUUUUACAAAGUUUUCUUUUACUUUUUCUUUCUGCAUCCUUUGAAACUUUCAUACGGUCACGUUUGAGAUUUGAUUUGGCAUUGAGGGAGAGAUGGUGACAACUCUGUCCCUUGAUUCUGAGCCAACAACAACAUACUAGAGAGCAUCUUUUGCAAUCACCGGAGCUAAGAGACUGGAAAAUGCAAGCUAAGCACUCUUCGGGCAGAUUUGAGAUGAAAUCAGACACUUCAUCGACAUGUUCAUGUGCAGCAGUGUUGUACUUUUUUCUUUCUCAAAAUUUCUUUGAUUUGCAGGAGUUCGAGCCCACGAAAGUUGAGUUGCUAGAAGAUGACAAGAUUUUGUUGUUGGAGUUUUUCGAGAACCUUCCAGUUAGGAUGGGUGUUUUGGCUAUUGGAUUUGAGGGAAUGUUAAAUGAAAAAAUGAAAGAAUUCUAUAGAAGUAUGGGCAUUGAGAGCGUGGUAGAUAAGAGCACAGACAAGUCAUCUGAUGGUGUGCAUGACACUAUGUGUACUACUGUGAGAUGGCAGUAGUGUGGAUGCAAAACCAGCUCAAGAGAAAUACGACAGAAGAACAAAUCUUGGAUUAUGUGAAUCAGGUUUAUUAGCCUUCUUAUUCACAUUCAGGGGAAAAGUGGCCUUGCUUCAAGCUCAUGCCAUAGAUUAUAUUGCAGCUUUGUGACUGACUGUCCAGUCAAAAUGGAGAAUCGGCUGUUGAGUGUAGCAGUCUAUCUUCCAUGCCCAAUGUGUCAUUCACCAUUGGUGGUAAAGUGUUUCACCUUUCACUAGAUCAGGUUGUGAAAAUACAAGAGUACUUUUUAGGUAAAGCACAAUUUGGAAUGGAAGAUGGUAUGCAUGAUGGUUUUUGUUGUUAGAAUUUUUUGAAUGAUUGGAAGGUAUUAACUAUUGCUCAUAGUUAAUUUUCCAAUCAUCUAGGUAUUAUAAUGUAAAAAUGAUAGGUGCAUAUUUGUUAG
Pistacia vera is the source of this 1989-nucleotide long non-coding RNA. RefSeq lists it as uncharacterized. The transcript has 4 exons. NCBI's taxonomy places the organism in Eukaryota, Viridiplantae, Streptophyta, Magnoliopsida, Sapindales, Anacardiaceae. The record is from RefSeq and is a predicted model, not a curated record.